GGUUGGGUAGUUUAGUGGUAGAACACCGGCAUAUGCCAUGCAUGGUAUGCUGGAGACCCAUGGGUCCUGGCCAGGUUCGAAUCCUGGUCCAACCG
Molecule: non-coding RNA, 95 nt
Organism: Tetradesmus obliquus
Lineage: Eukaryota; Viridiplantae; Chlorophyta; Chlorophyceae; Sphaeropleales; Scenedesmaceae
Source: the annotation of a GenBank genome assembly